RNAcentral lists this transfer RNA (72 nucleotides) under Bos taurus (domestic cattle). It matches the Rfam family "tRNA". Rfam says of the family: Transfer RNA (tRNA) molecules are approximately 80 nucleotides in length. Lineage: Eukaryota; Metazoa; Chordata; Mammalia; Artiodactyla; Bovidae. The record is from Rfam by way of RNAcentral. RNAcentral also lists the same sequence under 2 other names.
UUCCUCAUAGCUCAGUUGGUAAAGAAUCUGCCUGCAAUGCAGGAGACCUGGGUUUGAUUCCUGGGUAGGGAA